UGAAUACGAGACGCUAAGGCGUUGAAGUAGUGUAUGUCAUACUUCCAAGAAAAGCUUGCACUGUCAUAGAUAAAAAACGCCUGUACCAUAACCGACACAGGUGGGUAGGUAGAGUAUACUAAGGGGCGCGAGAUAACUCUCUCUAAGGAACUCGGCAAAAUAACUCCGUAACUUCGGGAGAAGGAGUGCCUUAUUUAUAAGGCUGCAAUAACAAGAUCCAAGCAACUGUUUAUCAAAAACACAGGUCUCCGCUAAGUCGUAAGACGAUGUAUGGGGGCUGACGCCUGCCCAGUGCCAGAAGGUUAAAGAAGUUGGUUAGCAAUAGCGAAGCUGAUAACUGAAGCCCUGGUGAACGGCGGCCGUAACAAUAACGGUCCUAAGGUAGCGAAAUUCCUUGUCGGGUAAGUUCCGACCCGCACGAAAGGCGUAAUGAUUUGGAUACUGUCUCGGAGAGGGGCUCGGUGAAAUAGACUUGUCUGUGAAGAUGCGGACUACCUGCACCAGGACAGAAAGACCCUAUGAAGCUUUACUGUAACUUGAAAUUGAAAUUGGACUUUAUUCGCGCAGUAUAGGUGGGAGGCGUUGAUUGUAAUCUUGCGGGAUUAUUGGAGCCAUCAGUGAGAUACCACCCUUGUAAUGUUAGAUUUCUAACUUUGAAUCAUUAUCUGGUCAAAGAACAGUUUCAGGCGGGCAGUUUGACUGGGGCGGUCGCCUCCUAAACGGUAACGGAGGCGUACAAAGGUUUCCUCUGAACGGUUAGAAAUCGUAUCUAGAGUGUAAAGGCAUAAGGAAGCUUGACUGUGAGACCUACAAGUCGAGCAGGGACGAAAGUCGGUCUUAGUGAUCUGACGGUACUGAGUGGAAAGGCCGUCACUCAACGGAUAAAAGUUACUCUAGGAUAACAGGCUGAUCUCCCCCAAGAGUUCACAUCGACGGGGAGGUUUGGCACCUCGAUGUCGGCUCAUCGCAUCCUGGGGCGGUAGUACGUCCCAAGGGUUGGGCUGUUCGCCCAUGAAAGCGGUACGCGAGCUGGGUUCAGAACGUCGUGAGACAGUUCGGUCCAUAUCCGGUGUAGGCGUUAGAAUAUUGAGAGGAGCCUUCUUUAGUACGAGAGGACCGAGAAGGACAUACCUCUGGUGUACCAGUUAUCGUGCCAACGGUAAACGCUGGGUAGCUAUGUAUGGAGUGGAUAGCCGCUGAAAGCAUCUAAGUGGGAAGCCCACCUCAAGAUAAGUAUUCUCC
RNAcentral lists this ribosomal RNA (1242 nucleotides) under metagenome. RNAcentral's name for it is "bacterial LSU rRNA". It matches the Rfam family "Bacterial large subunit ribosomal RNA", at positions 1564 to 2816 of the family's 2925-position model. The record is from RNAcentral.